GGCUGGGCUUUUCAUUGACCAUGGGUUGGAAUAGUUCUGUGGGCAUAGUGUGUCUUCGAAGCCACUAUGUUUUCUGCACUUGUGACUAGAGAGCACCUUGAUAGCUCAGUUGGUAGCGCGGUGGACUGUUAGAUGCUCCUUGUGUGAAAUGCUGUGAUCCUAAGGUCCCUGGUUCAACUCCAGCUCCAAGCACCUCCUUGUCAUUGGAAAUACCCCCAAGCCUUGUCUUUAUCUGUCAACUCCUCCAAAAUGUCAAAACACAAAGAAGAUAACUCUUUCUUAAAUUUUCAACCAUCAAUUUUUUAUUCACCCAGCCUAAAAGUCCUGAUUAUCAGUUCUGGGUCCCUGGCAAUGACUGUUGGGUACAAACUGCAAAGCUUUGUUCUGCAGGUAGGGCUGGGCUUUUCAUUGACCAUGGGUUGGAAUAGUUCUGUGGGCAUAGUGUGUCUUCGAAGCCACUAUGUUUUCUGCACUUGUGACUAGAGAGCACCUUGAUAGCUCAGUUGGUAGAGCGGUGGACUGUAAGAUGCUCCUUGUUUGAAAAGCUGUGAUCCUAAGGUCGCUGGUUCAACUCCAGCUCCAAGCACCUCCAUGUCAUUGGAAAUACCCCCAAGCCUUGUCUUUAUCUGUCAACUCCUCCAAAAUGUCAAAACACAAACAAGAUAACUCUUUCUUAAAUUUUCAACCAUCAAUUUUUUAUUCACUCAGCCUAAAAGUCCUGAUUAUCAGUUCUGGGUCCCUGGCAAUGACUGUUGGGUACAAACUGCAAAGCUGUGUUCUGCAGGUAGGGCUGGGCUUUUCAUUGACCAUGGGUUGGAAUAGUUCUGUGGGCAUAGUGUGUCUUCGAAGCCACUAUGUUUUCUGCACUUGUGACUAGAGAGCACCUUGAUAGCUCAGUUGGUAGAGCGGUGGACUGUAAGAUGCUCCUUGUGUGAAAAGCUGUGAUCCUAAGGUCGCUGGUUCAACUCCAGCUCCAAGCACCUCCUUGUCAUUGGAAAUACCCCCAACCCUUGUCUUUAUCUGUCAACUCCUCCAAAAUGUCAAAACACAAAGAAUAUAACUCUUUCUUAAAUUUUCAACCAUCAAUUUUUUAUUCACCCAGCCUAAAAGUCCUGAUUAUCAGUUCUGGGUCCCUGGCAAUGACUGUUGGGUACAAACUGCAAAGCUUUGUUCUGCAGGUAGGGCUGGGCUUUUCAUUGACCAUGGGUUGGAAUAGUUCUGUGGGCAUAGUGUGUCUUCGAAGCCACUAUGUUUUCUGCACUUGUGACUAGAGAGCACCUUGAUAGCUCAGUUGGUAGAGCGGUGGACUGUAAGAUGCUCCUUGUGUGAAACGCCGUGAUCCUAAGCUCGCUGGUUCAACUCCAGCUCCAAGCACCUCCUUGUCAUUGGAAAUACCCCCAAGCCUUGUCUUUAUCUGUCAACUCCUCCAAAAUGUCAAAACACAAAGAAGAUAACUCUUUCUUAAAUUUUCAACCAUCAAUUUUUUAUUCACUCAGCCUAAAAGUCCUGAUUAUCAGUUCUGGGUCCCUGGCAAUGACUGUUGGGUACAAACUGCAAAGCUUUGUUCUGCAGGUAGGGCUGGGCUUUUCAUUGACCAUGGGUUGGAAUAGUUCUGUGGGCAUAGUGUGACUUCGAAGCCACUAUGUUUUCUGCACUUGUGACUAGAGAGCACCUUGAUAGCUCAGUUGGUAGAGCGGUGGACUGUAAGAUGCUCCUUGUGUGAAACGCUGUGAUCCUAAGGUCGCUGGUUCAACUCCACCUCCAAGCACCUCCUUGUCAUUGGAAAUACCCCCAAGCCUUGUCUUUAUCUGUCAACUCCUCCAAAAUGUCAAAACACAAAGAAGAUUACUCUUUCUUAAAUUUUCAACCAUCAAUUUUUUAUUCACUCAGCCUAAAAGUCCUGAUUAUCAGUUCUGGGUCCCUGGCAAUGACUGUUGGGUACAAACUGCAAAGCUUUGUUCUGCAGGUAGGGCUGGGCUUUUCAUUGACCAUGGGUUGGAAUAGUUCUGUGGGCAUAGUGUGUCUUCGAAGCCACUAUGUUUUCUGCACUUGUGACUAGAGAGCACCUUGAUAGCUCAGUUGGUAGAGCGGUGGACUGUAAGAUGCUCCUUGUGUGAAACGCUGUGAUCCUAAGGUCGCUGGUUCAACUCCAGCUCCAAGCACCUCCUUGUCAUUGGAAAUACCCCCAAGCCUUGUCUUUAUCUGUCAACUCCUCCAAAAUGUCAAAACACAAAGAAGAUAACUCUUUCUUAAAUUUUCAACCAUCAAUUUUUUAUUCACUCAGCCUAAAAGUCCUGAUUAUCAGUUCUGGGUCCCUGGCAAUGACUGUUGGGUACAAACUGCAAAGCUUUGUUCUGCAGGUAGGGCUGGGCUUUUCAUUGACCAUGGGUUGGAAUAGUUCUGUGGGCAUAGUGUGUCUUCGAAGCCACUAUGUUUUCUGCACUUGUGACUAGAGAGCACCUUGAUAGCUCAGUUGGUAGAGCGGUGGACUGUAAGAUGCUCCUUGUGUGAAACGCUGUGAUCCUAAGGUCGCUGGUUCAACUCCAGCUCCAAGCACCUCCUUGUCAUUGGAAAUACCCCCAAGCCUUGUCUUUAUCUGUCAACUCCUCCAAAAUGUCAAAACACAAACAAGAUAACUCUUUCUUAAAUUUUCAACCAUCAAUUUUUUAUUCACUCAGCCUAAAAGUCCUGAUUAUCAGUUCUGGGUCUCUGGCAAUGACUGUUGGGUACAAACUGCAAAGCUUUGUUCUGCAGGUAGGGCUGGGCUUUUCAUUGACCAUGGGUUGGAAUAGUUCUGUGGGCAUAGUGUGUCUUCGAAGCCACUAUGUUUUCUGCACUUGUGACUAGAGAGCACCUUGAUAGCUCAGUUGGUAGAGCGGUGGACUGUAAGAUGCUCCUUGUGUGAAACGCCGUGAUCCUAAGGUCGCUGGUUCAACUCCAGCUCCAAGCACCUCCUUGUCAUUGGAAAUACCCCCAAGCCUUGUCUUUAUCUGUCAACUCCUCCAAAAUGUCAAAACACAAAGAAGAUAACUCUUUCUUAAAUUUUCAACCAUCAAUUUUUUAUUCACUCAGCCUAAAAGUCCUGAUUAUCAGUUCUGGGUCCCUGGCAAUGACUGUUGGGUACAAACUGCAAAGCUUUGUUCUGCAGGUAGGGCUGGGCUUUUCAUUGACCAUGGGUUGGAAUAGUUCUGUGGGCAUAGUGUGUCUUCAAAGCCACUAUGUUUUCUGCACUUGUGACUAGAGAGCACCUUGAUAGCUCAGUUGGUAGAGCGGUGGACUGUAAGAUGCUCCUUGUGUGAAACGCCGUGAUCCUAAGCUCGCUGGUUCAACUCCAGCUCCAAGCACCUCCUUGUCAUUGGAAAUACCCCCAAGCCUUGUCUUUAUCUGUCAACUCCUCCAAAAUGUCAAAACACAAAGAACAUAACUCUUUCUUAAAUUUUCAACCAUCAAUUUUUUAUUCACCCAGCCUAAAAGUCCUGAUUAUCAGUUCUGGGUCCCGGGCAAUGACUGUUGGGUACAAACUGCAAAGCUUUGUUCUGCAGGUAGGGCUGGGCUUUUCAUUGACCAUGGGUUGGAAUAGUUCUGUGGGCAUAGUGUGUCUUCGAAGCCACUAUGUUUUCUGCACUUGUGACUAGAGAGCACCUUGAUAGCUCAGUUGGUAGAGCGGUGGACUGUAAGAUGCUCCUUGUGUGAAACGCCGUGAUCCUAAGGUCGCUGGUUCAACUCCAGCUCCAAGCACCUCCUUGUCAUUGGAAAUACCCCCAAGCCUUGUCUUUAUCUGUCAACUCCUCCAAAAUGUCAAAACACAAAGAAGAUUACUCUUUCUUAAAUUUUCAACCAUCAAUUUUUUAUUCACCCAGCCUAAAAGUCCUGAUUAUCAGUUCUGGGUCCCUGGCAAUGACUGUUGGGUACAAACUGCAAAGCUUUGUUCUGCAGGUAGGACUGGGCUUUUCAUUGACCAUGGGUUGGAAUAGUUCUGUGGGCAUAGUGUGUCUUCGAAGCCACUAUGUUUUCUGCACUUGUGACUAGAGAGCACCUUGAUAGCUCAGUUGGUAGAGCGGUGGACUGUAAGAUGCUCCUUGUGUGAAACGCUGUGAUCCUAAGGUCGCUGGUUCAACUCCAGCUCCAAGCACCUCCUUGUCAUUGGAAAUACCCCCAAGCCUUGUCUUUAUCUGUCAACUCCUCCAAAAUGUCAAAACACAAACAAGAUAACUCUUUCUUAAAUUUUCAACCAUCAAUUUUUUAUUCACCCAGCCUAAAAGUCCUGAUUAUCAGUUCUGGGUCCCGGGCAAUGACUGUUGGGUACAAACUGCAAAGCUUUGUUCUGCAGGUAGGGCUGGGCUUUUCAUUGACCAUGGGUUGGAAUAGUUCUGUGGGCAUAGUGUGUCUUCGAAGCCACUAUGUUUUCUGCACUUGUGACUAGAGAGCACCUUGAUAGCUCAGUUGGUAGAGCGGUGGACUGUAAGAUGCUCCUUGUGUGAAACGCCGUGAUCCUAAGGUCGCUGGUUCAACUCCAGCUCCAAGCACCUCCUUGUCAUUGGAAAUACCCCCAAGCCUUGUCUUUAACUGUCAACUCCUCCAAAAUGUCAAAACACAAAGAAGAUAACUCUUUCUUAAAUUUUCAACCAUCAAUUUUUUAUUCACCCAGCCUAAAAGUCCUGAUUAUCAGUUCUGGGUCCCUGGCAAUGACUGUUGGGUACAAACUGCAAAGCUUUGUUCUGCAGGUAGGGCUGGGCUUUUCAUUGACCAUGGGUUGGAAUAGUUCUGUGGGCAUAGUGUGUCUUCGAAGCCACUAUGUUUUCUGCACUUGUAACUAGAGCGCACCUUGAUAGCUCAGUUGGUAGAGCGGUGGACUGUAAGAUGCUCCUUGUGUGAAACGCUGUGAUCCUAAGGUCGCUGGUUCAACUCCAGCUCCAAGCACCUCCUUGUCAUUGGAAAUACCCC
This 4944-nucleotide long non-coding RNA is filed under the name Xyrichtys novacula (pearly razorfish). The stretch from base 489 to 586 matches the Rfam family "tRNA". Lineage: Eukaryota; Metazoa; Chordata; Actinopteri; Labriformes; Labridae. The record is from RNAcentral.